Molecule: ribosomal RNA, 429 nt
Filed under: Chloroflexota bacterium
Lineage: Bacteria; Bacillati; Chloroflexota
Description: Chloroflexi bacterium partial 16S ribosomal RNA
Rfam family: Bacterial small subunit ribosomal RNA
Source: RNAcentral
UGGGGAAUAUUGCACAAUGGGCGCAAGCCUGAUGCAGCCAUGCCGCGUGUGUGAAGAAGGCCUUCGGGUUGUAAAGCACUUUCAGCGGGGAGGAAGGCGUUAAGGUUAAUAACCUUGGCGAUUGACGUUACCCGCAGAAGAAGCACCGGCUAACUCCGUGCCAGCAGCCGCGGUAAUACGGAGGGUGCAAGCGUUAGUCGGAAUUACUGGGCGUAAAGCGCACGCAGGCGGUCUGUCAAGUCGGAUGUGAAAUCCCCGGGCUCAACCUGGGAACUGCAUUCGAAACUGGCAGGCUAGAGUCUUGUAGAGGGGGGUAGAAUUCCAGGUGUAGCGGUGAAAUGCGUAGAGAUCUGGAGGAAUACCGGUGGCGAAGGCGGCCCCCUGGACAAAGACUGACGCUCAGGUGCGAAAGCGUGGGGAGCAAACAGG